This is a long non-coding RNA of Syngnathus typhle (broad-nosed pipefish), 542 nucleotides long. RefSeq lists it as uncharacterized. The transcript has 3 exons. The record is from RefSeq and is a predicted model, not a curated record. NCBI's taxonomy places the organism in Eukaryota, Metazoa, Chordata, Actinopteri, Syngnathiformes, Syngnathidae.
GGCUGCAUGAAUAAUUACAAACGUAGAUACGAAGUUCUCUUUCCCACAUAGUCAUGCAUUAUGAAGAAGAAGAAUCCAGUUACACUCCAUCACCGAACACCAUUAUCAACUUCGGCACUCCCUCGGCAAUCGUGUUCUCGUUUCACUUUCAGCGACUGAGAGCUUCUCACUUUCAUACAUUAAACAGUCACGCAGGUUCAGACCAAACAAUUCGGAAUUAACAAAGCCUAUUAGGCCUUAUUGGAUGUUUAUUGAAAAUGCAUCUAUUGUGGUUUUUAGAUUUAUUGAUUUUUGUGAUGUGCGUCCAACUCGGAUUGACGUCUGCCAGCACAGAUCAAUUCUCAAAUGAAUUUGUUGAGUGUCCAGAAGGAACCUACUUCUCCCACCAAUAUUGCUUGGAGUGCCCCUCGGGUCAUUUUUGUCCUGGAAAUGAAUCAGCGGCUCAGAGAUGUGGCUUGGGAACAUUCAAUCCGUAUACGGGGAAAAGCAGAAGCACUGACUGCAAGGUAAACUGGUGUCAAACUCAAGGCCCGGGGGCCAGA